GCAGUCCUCAGAAUGUUUUUAAUGGUUCCAGAGAGUUCUCUGGCUAAAGAUCAGUGCCACAUCUGUCAGACAAUGUUGACGAUCUCAUCAAAAACCCUUCCAAUGUCAUCACCAAACUUUUGGAUAUAGACCCAAGGGACUUAUCUUGGAGACCAGAGUAGACAUGGCACUGACUUCCUCACCAGUGCACCUCAGAAACUGUGGGCUCAAGGAGUGACUUCAGAAGGACAGGAGUGAUUUCUGUUUUGCUCACCAAUCUACCUGCAGUGCUAGCGCAAGAUCUGGCACACAUAGUGUUCAAUCAGCAUACGUGGAUUGAGGAAUCAACAUGUCUAUCUCUUGCUGGAAUAUGGGUGAGAUGACUGUGUACUAUUAAUUUCUGAAUCCCCAUCUCUUAGCAUGGUGCCUACCAUAAU
Long non-coding RNA from Canis lupus familiaris (dog), 416 nucleotides. RefSeq lists it as uncharacterized. Lineage: Eukaryota; Metazoa; Chordata; Mammalia; Carnivora; Canidae. The record is from RefSeq and is a predicted model, not a curated record. The transcript is spliced from 3 exons.